UUGGAGGGCAAGUCUGGUGCCAGCAGCCGCGGUAAUUCCAGCUCCAAUAGCGUAUAUUAAAGUUGUUGCAGUUAAAAAGCUCGUAGUUGAAUUUCAGGAUUCAUCCGUUGGUCGGGCCUCACGGUCCGUACUGGUGUGAUGGGUUCCUACCUUCUGAAUAACCGGCAUGCCAUUAAUUUGGUGCGCCGGGGAAGCAGAACUAUUACCUUGAAAAAAUUAGAGUGCUUAAAGCAGGCAAGUGCCUGAAUAGGUUAGCAUGGAAUAAUAAAAUAGGACGGCAUGGUUCUAUUUUGUUGGUUUCUAGGAUCACCGUAAUGAUUAAUAGGGAUAGUUGGGGGCAUUAGUAUUCAAUUGUCAGAGGUGAAAUUCUUGGAUUUAUUGAAGACUAACUUCUGCGAAAGCAUUUGCCAAGGAUGUUUUCAUUAAUCAAGAACGAAAGUUAGGGGAUCGAAGACGAUCAGAUACCGUCGUAGUCUUAACCAUAAACUAUGCCGACUAGGGAUCGGACGAUGUUAAUUUUUCAAUGACUCGUUCGGCGCCUUACGGGAAAC
This 551-nucleotide ribosomal RNA is filed under the name uncultured Glomeromycotina. RNAcentral's name for it is "SSU rRNA". It matches the Rfam family "Eukaryotic small subunit ribosomal RNA", at positions 548 to 1098 of the family's 1831-position model. The record is from RNAcentral. Lineage: Eukaryota; Fungi; Glomeromycota.